GACGAACGCUGGCGGCGUGCCUAAUACAUGCAAGUUGAGCGCUGAAGGUUGGUACUUGUACCGACUGGAUGAGCAGCGAACGGGUGAGUAACGCGUGGGGAAUCUGCCUUUGAGCGGGGGACAACAUUUGGAAACGAAUGCUAAUACCGCAUAAAAACUUUAAACACAAGUUUUAAGUUUGAAAGAUGCAAUUGCAUCACUCAAAGAUGAUCCCGCGUUGUAUUAGCUAGUUGGUGAGGUAAAGGCUCACCAAGGCGAUGAUACAUAGCCGACCUGAGAGGGGGAUCGGCCACAUUGGGACUGAGACACGGCCCAAACUCCUACGGGAGGCAGCAGGAGGGAAUCUUCGGCAAUGGACGAAAGUCUGACCGAGCAACGCCGCGUGAGUGAAGAAGGUUUUCGGAUCGUAAAACUCUGUUGGUAGAGAAGAACGUUGGUGAGAGUGGAAAGCUCAUCAAGUGACGGUAACUACCCAGAAAGGGACGGCUAACUACGUG
Molecule: ribosomal RNA, 497 nt
Filed under: uncultured bacterium
Lineage: Bacteria
Description: partial 16S ribosomal RNA
Rfam family: Bacterial small subunit ribosomal RNA
Source: RNAcentral